AGUUCUUGAAAGCUGCUCACAUCCUGUGCAGGAGUCAGUCCUAGUCAGCACACAGCAUGGACAUGAAGGCCCCUGCUCAUUUCCUGGGGUUCCUGCUGCUCUGGAUUACAGGUACCAGAUGUGACAUCCAGAUGACUCAGUCUCCAUCCACUUUGUCUGCAUCUCCUGGAGACAGAGUUUCCAUCACUUGCCGGGCCAGUCAGGGCAUUAGCAAUGCCUUAAACUGGUACCAGCAGAAACCAGGGGGAGCUCCAAAGCUCCUGAUCUAUGAUGCAAAGUAUUUACAAUCCGGCAUCCCCUCCAGAUUUAGUGGCAGUGGAUCUGGGACAGAGUACACUCUCACCAUCAGUAGCCUGCAGCCUGAAGACAUUGCUAAUUAUUACUGUCAACAGUAUUAUAAUAACCCACCCACAGUGAUACAAGCCAUAACAUAAACCUCCAGGAAGCAGAAGUGUGAGCCUGGGCUGUCCCAGCUGCUUUCUUCAUGCUUCCUCUUGCCAGAGCUGUCCUAGAAUCAUAGGACAGGAAUCCUGCCCAGGCUAACCUGGACCAGUGAGCUUCUAUAUCUCAAUCUUUGGAAUAAGUGUAAUUAUAGAUGUGCGAUACUGGCACUGUGCUAAAUGUUGAAAUAUUAAUAUUACAUUCCAGACUAUAAACAUGGAAAUACUCUGACUUUAUCCAGGUUAUUUUAUUCUUGAAUAGAUAUUCACAAUGUGCACAAAGACACUUCCAAUUUAUUUCAAAACUUUUAUUUUGAGAAUUUUCAAUACUUUAUGCAUGAAUUUCAUCAGCAAGUAAAGACAGUUUGCCACUUCCUUUUUCUGCUUCAGGUCUUUUGUGCUUUUUUUCCAAUUAGUUUUAGCUUUUCUUAUUGCAUUUGGAGAACCUCAGUACAAUUUUAGGUACUGAAAGUAAUAGUGAACAUUUCAUAGUUUAAUGCAGCUUGAGUGGUAAAAUGCUAAAUAACCAUAUCAAUGAGUACAAAGUUUGUUGUAGAGUUUGCCUACUUAUUAAAACAGGUAUUUUCCAUUAUUCCUGACCUGCUGAUACGUAAUGGAUAGCUGUUGAUGCUAUUAGAAAUAUUGUUUCACAUAAAUGUAGACAGUUAUAGUUUUUCUCUUUAACUCAAGCAGAAUGAUGAAAUGCAGAGAUCAGUUAUCUAAUUUUAAAAGAGAUUUCUACUUGUGGAACAUAUUCGACUUGAUCAACAAACAUUGCCUGAGAAAAAUAAGGAAUGUGAGAGAGAGAGAGAGAGAGAGAAAAGCAAAGUAGGAGAUGGAGAUGAGUGGAAGGAGAGAAAGGGGGGGGGGUGAAAGGAGGAUAAA
Molecule: non-coding RNA, 1325 nt
Organism: Dipodomys spectabilis (banner-tailed kangaroo rat)
Lineage: Eukaryota; Metazoa; Chordata; Mammalia; Rodentia; Heteromyidae
Source: the annotation of a RefSeq genome assembly